Molecule: transfer RNA, 74 nt
Filed under: Rubrivirga sp. SAORIC476
Lineage: Bacteria; Pseudomonadati; Rhodothermota; Rhodothermia; Rhodothermales; Rubricoccaceae
Description: tRNA-His
Rfam family: tRNA
About the family: Transfer RNA (tRNA) molecules are approximately 80 nucleotides in length.
Source: RNAcentral
GUGGCUGUAGCUCAGUUGGUUAGAGCGUCCGGUUGUGGUCCGGAAGGUCGCGGGUUCAAACCCCGUCAGCCACC